UGGGGAAUAUUGCACAAUGGGCGAAAGCCUGAUGCAGCGACGCCGCGUGAGGGAUGAAGGCUUUCGGGUUGUAAACCUCUUUCAGCACAGAAGAAUUUGACGGUAUGUGCAGAAGAAGCGCCGGCUAACUACGUGCCAGCAGCCGCGGUAAUACGUAGGGCGCGAGCGUUGUCCGGAAUUAUUGGGCGUAAAGAGCUCGUAGGCGGUUUGUUGCGCCUGCUGUGAAAGACCGGGGCUUAACUCCGGGGCUGCAGUGGGUACGGGCAGACUAGAGUGCGGUAGGGGUAACUGGAAUUCCUGGUGUAGCGGUGGAAUGCGCAGAUAUCAGGAGGAACACCGAUGGCGAAGGCAGGUUACUGGGCCGUUACUGACGCUGAGGAGCGAAAGCAUGGGGAGCGAACAGG
Molecule: ribosomal RNA, 404 nt
Filed under: uncultured bacterium
Lineage: Bacteria
Description: bacterial SSU rRNA
Rfam family: Bacterial small subunit ribosomal RNA
Source: RNAcentral